AUUGAACGCUGGCGGCAGGCCUAACACAUGCAAGUCGAGCGGAUGAAGGGAGCUUGCUCCUGGAUUCAGCGGCGGACGGGUGAGUAAUGCCUAGGAAUCUGCCUGGUAGUGGGGGAUAACGUCCGGAAACGGGCGCUAAUACCGCAUACGUCCUGAGGGAGAAAGUGGGGGAUCUUCGGACCUCACGCUAUCAGAUGAGCCUAGGUCGGAUUAGCUAGUUGGUGGGGUAAAGGCCUACCAAGGCGACGAUCCGUAACUGGUCUGAGAGGAUGAUCAGUCACACUGGAACUGAGACACGGUCCAGACUCCUACGGGAGGCAGCAGUGGGGAAUAUUGGACAAUGGGCGAAAGCCUGAUCCAGCCAUGCCGCGUGUGUGAAGAAGGUCUUCGGAUUGUAAAGCACUUUAAGUUGGGAGGAAGGGAAGUAAGUUAAUACCUUGCUGUUUUGACGUUACCAACAGAAUAAGCGCCGGCUAACUUCGUGC
RNAcentral lists this ribosomal RNA (485 nucleotides) under uncultured bacterium. Its description in RNAcentral is "partial 16S ribosomal RNA". It matches the Rfam family "Bacterial small subunit ribosomal RNA", at positions 30 to 508 of the family's 1533-position model. The record is from RNAcentral.